This 156-nucleotide non-coding RNA is filed under the name Paramoeba aestuarina. The record is from RNAcentral. Lineage: Eukaryota; Discosea; Flabellinia; Dactylopodida; Paramoebidae.
UGAGGCAGAAAAAGAGAAGGGGAGAAAGCCUGAUGCCCCGGCAGCAUCAGCAGGAUCAGGGGGGGGGGAAAACAAGAGAAAUAAGAGGAGAAAGAGGAAGAAGAAUCAACAGAAAGAGGAGGUGAGCAAGGCUCACACUUUUGUUUUGCCUUCUAU